CCUACGGGAGGCAGCAGUGAGGAAUAUUGGUCAAUGGUCGGGAGACUGAACCAGCCAAGCCGCGUGAGGGAUGAUGGUACAGAGUAUCGUAAACCUCUUUUGUCAGGGAACAAAGGCGGGGACGCGUCCCCGGAUGAGUGUACCUGAAGAAAAAGCAUCGGCUAACUCCGUGCCAGCAGCCGCGGUAAUACGGAGGAUGCGAGCGUUAUCCGGAUUUAUUGGGUUUAAAGGGUGCGCAGGCGGUCUGUUAAGUCAGCGGUAAAAGCCCGGGGCUCAACCCCGGCCCGCCGUUGAAACUGGCAGUCUCGAGUUGGAGAGAAGUAUGCGGAAUGCGCGGUGUAGCGGUGAAAUGCAGAGAUAUCGCGCAGAACUCCGAGUGCGAAGGCAGCAUGCCGGCUCCACACUGACGCUGAGGCACGAAAGCGUGGGUAUCGAACAGGAUUAGAUACCCUUGUAGUC
RNAcentral lists this ribosomal RNA (459 nucleotides) under uncultured bacterium. RNAcentral's name for it is "partial 16S ribosomal RNA". It matches the Rfam family "Bacterial small subunit ribosomal RNA", at positions 338 to 795 of the family's 1533-position model. The record is from RNAcentral.